GAUGAACGCUGGCGGCGUGCCUAGUACAUGCAAGUCGAGCGAACAGACGAGGAGAUUGCUCCUCUGACGUUAGCGGCGGACGGGUGAGUAACACGUGGAUAACCUACCUAUAAGACUGGGGUAACUUCGGGAAACCGGAGCUAAUACCGGAUAAUAUAUUGAACCGCAUGGUUCAAUAGUGAAAGACGGUUUUGCUGUCACUUAUAGAUGGAUCCGCGCCGCAUUAGCUAGUUGGUAAGGUAACGGCUUACCAAGGCAACGAUGCGUAGCCGACCUGAGAGGGUGAUCAGCCACACUGGAACUGAGACACGGUCCAGACUCCUACGGGAGGCAGCAGUAGGGAAUCUUCCGCAAUGGGCGAAAGCCUGACGGAGCAACACCGCGUGAGUGAUGAAGGUCUUCGGAUCGUAAAACUCUGUUAUUAGGGAAGAACAGAUGUGUAAGUAACUAUGCACGUCUUGACGGUACCUAAUCAGAAAGCCACGGCUAACUACGUG
This 497-nucleotide ribosomal RNA is filed under the name uncultured bacterium. RNAcentral describes it as "partial 16S ribosomal RNA". It matches the Rfam family "Bacterial small subunit ribosomal RNA", at positions 28 to 507 of the family's 1533-position model. The record is from RNAcentral.